RNAcentral lists this long non-coding RNA (250 nucleotides) under Bos taurus (domestic cattle). RNAcentral describes it as "long non-coding RNA NONBTAT024177". Lineage: Eukaryota; Metazoa; Chordata; Mammalia; Artiodactyla; Bovidae. The record is from RNAcentral.
UUGGACUGAAUUUCCCCCUCCCCCCCUUUGAUGGAAGAAUGUUCCAGAUUCUAAAUUGAGGACUUCAUUAAUGGCAUUAUUACUGUGUUAUGAUUGUUAAAAAACAUUUCCUGUAAGGUACACACUACAUACUAAGGUCGGCCAUCAUUCCUGUUAAGUUUUUUACCAAGCUUAAAAUGAAGCUUUGUGUUUGAAAGUUACAAGCUCAGAUGAAGAUGGUGGUUGUACAUUACUUCAUUUAGAAAAUAUA